UGUUUGCACUUAGCGGGAAGGGUAAGAACCUUCGACUAAGGUUCGACUCGAGCGCCAGCGAGAGAACGUUGCCGCAGGCAACGGCCCGAAGGGCGAGGAGAGAUAGCGACGAAUUAUCCUUUCCCCACCACCA
This 133-nucleotide small RNA is filed under the name Klebsiella pneumoniae. Its description in RNAcentral is "RtT sRNA". It matches the Rfam family "RtT RNA". Rfam says of the family: This family represents a bacterial cis-regulatory element known as RtT RNA. The exact function of RtT is unknown although it is thought that it may be involved in changing the cellular response in relation to amino acid starvation. The record is from RNAcentral. RNAcentral also lists the same sequence under 1 other name. Lineage: Bacteria; Pseudomonadati; Pseudomonadota; Gammaproteobacteria; Enterobacterales; Enterobacteriaceae.